AGAGUUUGAUCCUGGCUCAGGACGAACGCUGGCGGUGUGCUUCACUCAUGCAAGUCGAACGAGGUAGCAAUACCUAGUGGCGGACGGGUGAGUAACGCGUGGGAAUCUGCCCUUGGGUAGGGGAUAGCAGGCCGAAAGGCCUAUUAAUACCGUAUAUGCCGUGAGGUAAAAGGAGUAAUCCGCCCGAGGAUGAGCCUGCGUCCGAUUAGCUAGUUGGUGGGGUAAAAGCCUACCAAGGCUACGAUCGGUAGCUGGUCUGAGAGGAUGAUCAGCCACAAUGGGACUGAGACACGGCCCAUACUCCUACGGGAGGCAGCAGUGGGGAAUUUUACGCAAUGGGGGAAACCCUGACGUAGCGACACCGCGUGAGCGAAGAAGCCUUUUGGGGUGUAAAGCUCUGUCAGCAGGAACGAAUAAAUGACGGUACCUGCAGAGGAAGCAUCGGCUAACUACGUGCCAGCAGCCGCGGUAAGACGUAGGAUGCGAGCGUUGUCCGGAUUCAUUGGGCGUAAAGAGUUCGUAGGCGGUUUGUUAAGUCUGGUGUUAAAGAUCAGGGCCCAACCCUGGGAGUGCAUUGGAUACUGGCAGACUUGAGUACAGUAGAGGCGAGUGGAAUUCCCAGUGUAGCGGUGAAAUGCGUAGA
This 643-nucleotide ribosomal RNA is filed under the name uncultured bacterium. RNAcentral describes it as "bacterial SSU rRNA". It matches the Rfam family "Bacterial small subunit ribosomal RNA", at positions 8 to 694 of the family's 1533-position model. The record is from RNAcentral.